CAGUCGCCGCGGUAAAACGGAGGGGGCUAGCGUUGUUCGGAAUUACUGGGCGUAAAGCGCACGUAGGCGGCUUGGUAAGUUAGAGGUGAAAGCCUGGAGCUCAACUCCAGAAUUGCCUUUAAGACUGCCGAGCUAGCAGGUGAGAGAGGUAAGUGGAAUUCCGAGUGUAGAGGUGAAAUUCGUAGAUAUUCGGAAGAACACCAGUGGCGAAGGCGGCUUACUGGCUCAUACUGGACGCUGAGGCGCGAAAGCGUGGGGAGCAAACAGGAUUAGAUACCCCCGUAGUCCCUGUCUCUUAUAC
RNAcentral lists this ribosomal RNA (301 nucleotides) under uncultured bacterium. Its description in RNAcentral is "partial 16S ribosomal RNA". It matches the Rfam family "Bacterial small subunit ribosomal RNA", at positions 509 to 807 of the family's 1533-position model. The record is from RNAcentral.